AUUGAACGCUGGCGGCAUGCCUUACACAUGCAAGUCGAACGGCAGCGCGGGUGCUUGCACCUGGUGGCGAGUGGCGAACGGGUGAGUAAUACAUCGGAACAUGUCCUGUAGUGGGGGAUAGCCCGGCGAAAGCCGGAUUAAUACCGCAUACGAUCUACGGAUGAAAGCGGGGGACCUUCGGGCCUCGCGCUAUAGGGUUGGCCGAUAGCUGAUUAGCUAGUUGGUGGGGUAAAGGCCUACCAAGGCGACGAUCAGUAGCUGGUCUGAGAGGACGACCAGCCACACUGGGACUGAGACACGGCCCAGACUCCUACGGGAGGCAGCAGUGGGGAAUUUUGGACAAUGGGCGAAAGCCUGAUCCAGCAAUGCCGCGUGUGUGAAGAAGGCCUUCGGGUUGUAAAGCACUUUUGUCCGGAAAGAAAUCCUUGGCUCUAAUACAGUCGGGGGAUGACGGUACCGGAAGAAUAAGCACCGGCUAACUACGUG
Molecule: ribosomal RNA, 486 nt
Filed under: uncultured bacterium
Lineage: Bacteria
Description: partial 16S ribosomal RNA
Rfam family: Bacterial small subunit ribosomal RNA
Source: RNAcentral